Molecule: ribosomal RNA, 665 nt
Filed under: uncultured bacterium
Lineage: Bacteria
Description: bacterial SSU rRNA
Rfam family: Bacterial small subunit ribosomal RNA
Source: RNAcentral
AGAGUUUGAUCCUGGCUCAGAUUGAACGCUGGCGGCAGGCCUAACACAUGCAAGUCGAGCGGUAACAGGGGUAGCUUGCUACCCGCUGACGAGCGGCGGACGGGUGAGUAAUGCAUAGGAAUUUACCCGAUAGUGGGGGAUAACCUGGGGAAACCCAGGCUAAUACCGCAUACGUCCUACGGGAGAAAGGGGGCUCCGGCUCCCGCUAUCGGAUGAGCCUAUGCCGGAUUAGCUGGUUGGUGAGGUAAUGGCUCACCAAGGCGACGAUCCGUAGCUGGUCUGAGAGGAUGAUCAGCCACAUCGGGACUGAGACACGGCCCGAACUCCUACGGGAGGCAGCAGUGGGGAAUAUUGGACAAUGGGGGCAACCCUGAUCCAGCCAUGCCGCGUGUGUGAAGAAGGCCCUCGGGUUGUAAAGCACUUUCAGUGAGGAAGAACGCCUGAUGGUUAAUACCCGUCAGGAAAGACAUCACUCACAGAAGAAGCACCGGCUAACUCCGUGCCAGCAGCCGCGGUAAUACGGGGGGUGCAAGCGUUAAUCGGAAUUACUGGGCGUAAAGCGCAUGCAGGCGGUUUGUUAAGUCAGAUGUGAAAGCCCGGGGCUCAACCUCGGAACCGCAUUUGAAACUGGCAGGCUAGAGUCUUGUAGAGGGGGGUAGAAUUUC